RNAcentral lists this long non-coding RNA (1404 nucleotides) under Anolis carolinensis (green anole). Its description in RNAcentral is "lncRNA (ENSACAG00000034947.1)". The record is from RNAcentral. Lineage: Eukaryota; Metazoa; Chordata; Lepidosauria; Squamata; Anolidae.
UACAUCCUUAGGAAUUGACAAUAUGGUAACAUUUAGAACUGCUUAAACUGAUUCCUAUACCACAGGUUCUCUUGGACUAUUGGAAGAAAAGAAAAGAAAAAGAAGCCAUCUGUUGAAGCAUCUGUAUUACAGAUCUGGGAGCAAAAACUGAUUUCAGGUGUGCCUCUGUACUUGGAGAUCAAAUAAUCAGUCAGACAUCAAUGAUAUUCACACAUUUGCUCAAAAGCAUAAAGUAGCUUAAUUUGUUUUUGUCAAAACAAACAGCUUUUCUAUAUUAGCGUUUCUCUAGAUUACUUUUCAUAGACUGCCCAUAGUAACUAACAGUCAGGCUCUGUGUUGUUUAGCUUAACCAUUUACCACAGGAAAUCUAAAAGCAAUUAUCUCAUGUUGUUUGAUCAGGGCUGAUGUACCGACGCUUAUGGAACACAGUAUGCUUAGUAAGUACUUUGAAGCUUUUUAAAGCUGAAAUGAAUUACUUACUUGAAAGGCCAUGUAAGAAAUGGUCGAAAUGAUUUCAACAAGUUUAAAAGCAGAUUACACAUAAUGUUGAAAACUGUAACAUAUUGUUUUGCACAAUGAGACUCCUAAAGUUUCAAAGCCAAUCUAUAAUAAACUUACUCUUGUCUUCAGUAAAGUACAACCAAUUUACCCACAUCCACCCAGCAUUAACAGAAGGAAUACAGUGUAAACAGCGAAUAAAAGAUUUGCAACAUUUAGGUUUUAUAGCUGUAAAUGUGUUAAACCAUUUUCUUUAGGAGUUAGGAAUGUCUGAGAAAUUUUCAUGAUCUCUUCCCCUGACCGUAAUACAUGUUGGAAUGAAUGGGUUACAUAUACAAACAAACAUCAUCAUCAUAAUAUACAAAGAUUACUAUUCCAUCAUCUAUAAUCUUAUUGAAUUCCAACCUACUUCUUUCCAAAAAUAUCUAUCUCCAUCCCCAAAGGGUUUUUUUCUCAUAUAAAAUCUCAGCAUGCAAUAUAAACCUAACAAAAAUGCAUUUGGUGGCAUGGUUGUUUAUCCAGUACAAUCUCGUACAUGUGUAAGAGCUAAUGUGUUCAAAGAGCCUUGGAACACAACUAAGGACACCACCUAACAUCACAACCUUAAUUCAGCAAGUGGAUCUAUCGUCGGUUGAGCUGACAUUAGACCAGUAGAACCUGUUGUAUCCAAAUCUCAGUCCUUCCAGGAUAAGCAUGUCUCUGGAUUAUAGGAUAGAGAAAUAGGAAUUGUAUUUUGGAGUUCCCAAGUGUGGGAAAUUACUUAGGCCAAUCCAAACUUUCUGCUGGCACAGAGUUUGUAACUCUUGACUGAGCAAGGUUUGGAUGUAGUAUAACACCACCUCCAAACCUCAUUCAGGUUUGAUUUCUAGUUAGUUUCAGGGCAAAGUAAGUUGGUUUUGACCUUUU